RNAcentral lists this ribosomal RNA (460 nucleotides) under uncultured bacterium. RNAcentral describes it as "partial 16S ribosomal RNA". It matches the Rfam family "Bacterial small subunit ribosomal RNA", at positions 338 to 795 of the family's 1533-position model. The record is from RNAcentral.
CCUACGGGUGGCAGCAGUGAGGAAUAUUGGUCAAUGGGCGCGAGCCUGAACCAGCCAAGUAGCGUGAAGGAUGACUGCCCUAUGGGUUGUAAACUUCUUUUAUCUGGGAAUAAAAUGUUCCACGUGUGGCAUUUUGUAUGUACCUUAUGAAUAAGGAUCGGCUAACUCCGUGCCAGCAGCCGCGGUAAUACGGAGGAUCCGAGCGUUAUCCGGAUUUAUUGGGUUUAAAGGGAGCGUAGGUGGGUUGUUAAGUCAGUUGUGAAAGUUUGCGGCUCAACCGUAAAAUUGCAGUUGAAACUGGCAGUCUUGAGUACAGUAGAGGUAGGCGGAAUUCGUGGUGUAGCGGUGAAAUGCUUAGAUAUCACGAAGAACUCCGAUUGCGAAGGCAGCCUACUGGACUGCAACUGACACUGAUGCUCGAAAGUGUGGGUAUCAAACAGGAUUAGAUACCCUUGUAGUC